UUUCCCCUUCGUCUACCCAGAGAUAGAAUGUUCAGGUGGGUGAGCUUGUGGUAUAAAUGCCUUUCAAAACCACUGAAACCUCUUCCCUUCGUCUCUUCCACCGCAGCCACCCGGGCGCUUUAUGGCAGUCGACGG
Molecule: long non-coding RNA, 135 nt
Filed under: Mus pahari (shrew mouse)
Lineage: Eukaryota; Metazoa; Chordata; Mammalia; Rodentia; Muridae
Source: RNAcentral